RNAcentral lists this ribosomal RNA (468 nucleotides) under uncultured bacterium. RNAcentral describes it as "partial 16S ribosomal RNA". It matches the Rfam family "Bacterial small subunit ribosomal RNA", at positions 28 to 507 of the family's 1533-position model. The record is from RNAcentral.
GACGAACGCUGGCGGCGUGCUUAACACAUGCAAGUCGAACGGAAAGGCCCUGCUUUUGUGGGGUGCUCGAGUGGCGAACGGGUGAGUAACACGUGAGUAACCUGCCCUUGACUUUGGGAUAACUUCAGGAAACUGGGGCUAAUACCGGAUAGGAGCUCCUGCUGCAUGGUGGGGGUUGGAAAGUUUCGGCGGUUGGGGAUGGACUCGCGGCUUAUCAGCUUGUUGGUGGGGUAGUGGCUUACCAAGGCUUUGACGGGUAGCCGGCCUGAGAGGGUGACCGGCCACAAUGGUACUGAGAUACGGAGCAGAGUGGUAUGGGAGACAGCGGUGGGGAGUCUUGCACAGUGGGAGGGAGUGUGAUGCGGCAACGCCGCGUUCGUGAUGACGGUCUUCGGGGUGUGAACCGCUUUAGCCUGUGACGAAGCGUGAGUGACGGUAAUGGGUGAAGAAGCACCGGCUAACUACGUG